RNAcentral lists this transfer RNA (70 nucleotides) under Bos taurus (domestic cattle). It matches the Rfam family "tRNA". Rfam says of the family: Transfer RNA (tRNA) molecules are approximately 80 nucleotides in length. Their secondary structure includes four short double-helical elements and three loops (D, anti-codon, and T loops). Further hydrogen bonds mediate the characteristic L-shaped molecular structure. tRNAs have two regions of fundamental functional importance: the anti-codon, which is responsible for specific mRNA codon recognition, and the 3' end, to which the tRNAs corresponding amino acid is attached (by aminoacyl-tRNA synthetases). tRNAs cope with the degeneracy of the genetic code in two manners: having more than one tRNA (with a specific anti-codon) for a particular amino acid; and 'wobble' base-pairing, i.e. permitting non-standard base-pairing at the 3rd anti-codon position. Lineage: Eukaryota; Metazoa; Chordata; Mammalia; Artiodactyla; Bovidae. RNAcentral also lists the same sequence under 5 other names. The record is from Rfam by way of RNAcentral.
UCCAGGUGGCUCAGUGGUAGAGAAUCUGCCUGCCAAGCAGGAGACCCAGGUUCAAUCCCUGGGUCAGGAA